GACGAACGCUGGCGGCGUGCUUAACACAUGCAAGUCGAACGGAAAGGCCCUGCUUUUGUGGGGUGCUCGAGUGGCGAACGGGUGAGUAACACGUGAGUAACCUUCCCUUGACUUUGGGAUAACUUCAGGAAACUGGGGCUAAUACCGGAUAGGAGCUCCUGCUGCAUGGUGGGGGUUGGAAAGUUUCGGCGGUUGGGGAUGGACUCGCGGCUUAUCAGCUUGUUGGUGGGGUAGUGGCUUACCAAGGCUUUGACGGGUAGCCGGCCUGAGAGGGUGACCGGCCACAUUGGGACUGAGAUACGGCCCAGACUCCUACGGGAGGCAACAGUGGGGAAUAUUGCACAAUGGGCGGAAGCCUGAUGCAGCAACGCCGCGUGCGGGAUGACGGCCUUCGGGUUGUAAACCGCUUUCGCCUGUGACGAAGCGUGAGUGACGGUAAUGGGUAAAGAAGCACCGGCUAACUACGU
Molecule: ribosomal RNA, 467 nt
Filed under: uncultured bacterium
Lineage: Bacteria
Description: partial 16S ribosomal RNA
Rfam family: Bacterial small subunit ribosomal RNA
Source: RNAcentral